GGAUUAGAUACCCUGGUAGUCCACGCAGUAAACGAUGAGUGCUAGUCGCUGGGACAUUAGUUUCAGUGUCGAAGCUAACGCAUUAAGCACUCCGCCUGGGAAGUACGGUCGCAAGAUUAAAACUCAAAUAAAUUGACGGGGGCCCGCACAAGCGGUGGAGCAUGUGGUUUAAUUCGAAGCAACGCGAAGAACCUUACCAGACCUUGACAUGGUAUGUUUAGAUUUCAGAAUCGAAAUCUUUCAGUUCGGCUGGCAUACACACAGGUGCUGCAUGGCUGUCGUCAGCUCGUGCCG
RNAcentral lists this ribosomal RNA (294 nucleotides) under uncultured bacterium. Its description in RNAcentral is "partial 16S ribosomal RNA". It matches the Rfam family "Bacterial small subunit ribosomal RNA", at positions 775 to 1067 of the family's 1533-position model. The record is from RNAcentral.